GAUGAACGCUGGCGGCGUGCCUAAUACAUGCAAGUCGAGCGAACGGACGAGAAGCUUGCUUCUCUGAUGUUAGCGGCGGACGGGUGAGUAACACGUGGAUAACCUACCUAUAAGACUGGGAUAACUUCGGGAAACCGGAGCUAAUACCGGAUAAUAUUUUGAACCGCAUGGUUCAAAAGUGAAAGACGGUCUUGCUGUCACUUAUAGAUGGAUCCGCGCUGCAUUAGCUAGUUGGUAAGGUAACGGCUUACCAAGGCAACGAUCCAUAGCCGACCUGAGAGGGUGAUCGGCCACACUGGAACUGAACCACGGUCCAAACUCCUACGGGAGGCAGCAGUAGGGAAUCUUCCGCAAUGGGCGAAAGCCUGACGGAGCAACGCCGCGUGAGUGAUGAAGGUCUUCGGAUCGUAAAACUCUGUUAUUAGGGAAGAACAUAUGUGUAAGUAACUGUGCACAUCUUGACGGUACCUAAUCAGAAAGCCACGGCUAACUACGUG
Molecule: ribosomal RNA, 497 nt
Filed under: uncultured bacterium
Lineage: Bacteria
Description: partial 16S ribosomal RNA
Rfam family: Bacterial small subunit ribosomal RNA
Source: RNAcentral